Long non-coding RNA from Motacilla alba alba, 1252 nucleotides. RefSeq lists it as uncharacterized. NCBI's taxonomy places the organism in Eukaryota, Metazoa, Chordata, Aves, Passeriformes, Motacillidae. The transcript has 3 exons. The record is from RefSeq and is a predicted model, not a curated record.
GCGCUCCUCAUCUCUGAUUGGAUGAUGCCGCUACCGUAGAGCGGCGGCUGGGGAGAGAGGCGUGGCUUAGUCAAAUUCUGCUUUGUGAUUGGCUGGCGGCCUGACCUCGCGGCCUAUAGAAGGCGGCUCCCGGGAAGGGGCGGGACUAACGGUGCUGAGGCGAAGGAAAAAGGCGGGAAGGCGCCGGAGAUCCUGAGGGGAUUUUGCCGCUUUUCCCUCUUUUGGCAGCAGAAAAUCAAUUCAGCGCCUCAAAUCUUAAUAAAAUAGAGCAGGAAACCUUAAACUUCAGAGAGAACUUCAGUCCUGCAGCAUGAGUGAGGCAGAGAGAAGACACCGUGGUGCGGGCGUUCCUCUGCAGGGUCUCUGACGAGGACCUGCUGGCCAUGGCACGGCUGUCUGCCCACGAGCGAUGCGACCCGCGGCCCUGUGAGUCCUUAAUUAGGGCCUUAACGAAGCCCGGCCUUAAUUAGGGCCCUAGCACCCUCCCAGCCAAGUAGGGGUCCUAAUGAUGCCCCCAGUAAUUAAGUGGGGGUCCUAAUGAAUCCCCUUAAUGAACUGGGGGGCUCUAAUUAAGCAAGGAACCCUAAUGAUGCUUCCGCUAAUGAAGUGCGAGGCCUUAAUGAUGCUCCUGCUAAUGAGGUGGGGGCCCUAAUGAUGUUCCCAAUAAUGAGGUGGGGGCUCUAAUGAUGCUCCCCCAAUCAAUUUGGGCCCUUUUGGGUAGCAAUUUGCCUUUUUUUUUGCUUUGGCCCCAAAUUUUGCCCAUUUUUUUCUUAUUUUUAACCCUAAAUCGUCUCCUUUUUGAUUUUGGCCCAGAAUUGGGCUUUUCUUUUUUUUCAUUUUUGCUCCUAAAUUUGGCCUUUUUUUUUGUUUUGUCCCAAAAUUGGCCUUUUUUUGUGCUUUUGGCCCAAAACCCCCUGGAACUGGGGCUGCUCCACACCUGAUUUGGGGUAAAACCUGCUGGAACUGGGGCUGCUCCACACCCUCUUUGCCUUUUCUUUGGUUUUUACUGAGCCAAUUUUGUUUUUUUUUAACCCCAGCCCCGUUUCUGCUCACAAGCGUCUGCUUCCUGCUGUCCCAGCUGCUGCUUUGGGGUGAUAUCUUCUCCGUUUUUUUAUCGUUUCCCUUCUAUUUCUCACCCAAACCCUUCCAAACUGCCCCGAAUCUCCCCUUUCCUCCCCGAGGCUCCUCCUGCCUCCCCAGUUUUGGGAGAGAAAUGUAAAAAAAUGGGCAAAAAACCCGUAGAAAAUGGGCA